UGUGUGAGUGCCAUUGGCAGAGAGGAAACCUUCCCAAGAACAGAGAACUUGACCUAUAACUGACAUGGUUUUUGCUUCCUUUCAGAUGUUUUCUUAGAAAUGAAUCACCUCAGGUGGCGCCUGUGGCUCAAAGGAGUAGGGCACCGGCCCCAUAUACCAGAGGUGGCGGGUUCAAAACCCGGCCCCAGCCAAAAACUGCAAAAGAAAUGAAUCACCUCACAGUCUUCUUAGAAAGGCAAGCAAGGCUGAGGAUGCCCCACCACAGGCCCGGUCCAGCAGAGCAGGAGAGGAAGAGUCACAGCUGCAGGCUCUCUGCACAAGGACCUCAGGGAUCCAGGAAUGAUUUCAGCUGUGAGAAUUUCUCCAGAAAACCUGCUUUCUCUAUUUGAGUGAGGAAAAAAAGAGAGCAAACGCAAGAAUUUCUCCCGUGUAGCACUGACUUCCUCUGUGGCCCCAGAGAAGCCAUUUGAACUCUCUUCUUUGGUUCCCCCAGCUGUGAAACGGAGCUAAGAACGACUAAUGUAUUCCACAAGGAGCAAAAAAGGCUUUAGGCAGAUGAAAGACAUUGUCCUCAUCUGUCUGAAAGAUCCAGUGGCACAGGGUGGAGAAUGGCCUGGAAAGGAGCCCCAGGGGAAACACAGACCUCAGUGAGAGGCUCAGGGAACAGAUAAGAUGGCUGGACUAAGGCUGAAGGCCUUUUACGAGGGAUCUCUCAGCAGCAGCCCUUUUCAGAAGUAUCAUAGGAACCAUCAGGGCACCGGUGCCAGAGAGCCCUGGCCAGCUGGGACCUGCCUUCUGGGACCUGCCUGCCCUCUGUACAUUGGAAAGAGGCCUGAUUAGACCUACCUUGUGGAGGUUCCACUGAGAACUGACGAACCACCCAGCAGAGCAGCUGUGUCAGUGACUUAGUUUGGAAGGACACGGGAGCUUCUGAGACAUCCGGGAUUCAGGGAGCAGCCCAGCGGUGUGCUGAGGGCUCCUCUCUGCUCCUCCUGUCUGGGUGCUUGGGGUGCAGAUGAGAGGCUCUGUCUAUCUGUCAUUUUCCUCCCAGGGCAGGUUUCCUCCAACCCCGCAAUCUGGGCUUGGCCAUGCAACCUUCUCAAAUGUUGCUGCUUAAUAUCCCCCAGGAUGGAUGUUUAACCCAGGACCAAGUGAGCCACAAGACAGGUUAACAUCCCACAGUAACACAACAGUGAUCAGAUGGACUGAGAAGGGGAGACGGGACUAACGGGACACAGAGGUGCGGCCCCAAGGAUGGUGAAGGGAUGGGGGACGUGGGGCCCUGGGAAGGCUGACGAGUGAGGCAAAGGCCCAGCCUGGAUGUAUGAGGUGGGGGCAGAUCGUGAAGUCAGGCUCUGAGGCUGAAACAAGAACCUGACUGUUGUAAACUGGGCUUUUGCUCAUCCAUCCGAGGCAUUUUCUCAAGGGCCAUACUGGGCCUUGGCAUGAGAGUGGGACAGAGGCCUGUGAGAACUGAGUGUUCCAGAGAGCCAGGCAGAGGGUCUCUUCUGAGGCUGUUUCCCAUCGAUUUCACCAGGGUGGCAGAUCAUGGAGGCUCAGCCCAGAUGAGGUGCAGACCUCUGCUGCUGUGUUUUGACUCCCUGGUCACUUCUACCUGCCUUCUACACUUCAAAAGUGAUUUUGAUUCAUCUUCUUUUCCCUUUUUAUGCCAGACUCCCUUGAUCUGAAGUGUAAUUGCUCAAGAAUGAUCUUACUUAACUCUUAAGGCAGUGGUUCUCAACCUUCCUGAUGCCAUGGCCCUCUAACACAGUUCCUGUGGGUUGUUGAGAACCCCUGCUCUAAGGAUUAGUCUUGUUCAGUAAAGCCUUCCCUAUGAACCAUACUCAACUUGCAGAGCAGCACAUCCGUCCACCCCUCCUGCUGUCUCAUCUGCGGUUGGGCUGUUGCUUCUGUUUUUUUUUUUUUUCAAGGACGUUUUGCUAUGUUUCCCAGGCUGGACCAAGUCCAGCCUGAGCCUCUCAGUAGCUGGGCUGGCGGGUGUGCACCACCACUCUGGGCUGGGGCUUCUCACUGCUUCACUUCUCUGUGGUUGUUACAGUUUGAGUUGGCAUCAUAAGCCCCCCCGGCUGAAUGUAAUUCAUUCUUUAGUUUUGUUUUUAUUUCUGCCCAUAUUCCUAAACCACUUACCAUUUCUGAAUUACAAGAGUUGAGUAUCCUUAGCCCUGUGGAAAGACACACCCCUUCCUACUCCCCCCACAUGAAUUGCUACCUUAGCUGAAACUCAACUGUCCAUGCAGGCCCCGGAGACCUCUCUGAUGGUGGCCUUAAAACCCUCCUGUGAGGCCUGCGGUUUGCACCUGGAAUUGGCAAGGAGCUCAGACAUGUCCACUUUUCUGGGUAACUCAUAAAGAUUAAACAUUCAUAGCUCCUGAGGGUCCAGCUCCCUCAGGGGAGGGCCGAGGCUUCACUCGCCUUUAUUGCCUCAAACAACAUCCAGAGCACAGUGGAGGCCCCACUGUUACUUGAACGCAAUGGCUGAUUUGGGGGGAUGUCUCCUUUCAACCUAGAUGUAAACUUAGAUUUCUUCACGUGUUGUGUGAAAUCAAUACUUUAAUAUUAAAAAAAAAAAAUACCUGAUUCAAAGAUCAUUUGGUGGCAUCUCCAAAGUAUGGUGAAUACUUUAUCCCAUUCACUUACCCUAUUUUAGACAGAUGUAUCAUUUCCUACUCUUUAUUUUCAAGCUAAAGUUCUCUCUCCAUUUUUUAAGAGGUAACUGCGUCUUUGUCUUACGUGGUUUAUAUUAAAGUUUUGGUCUAUUGUUAGACUGAAGUGCAGAUGCUGGUGAAUGAGCUGCUUUCCCUGCUCUGAACUCCUGCCUCUUGCCACCUGGACGAGCAUCUCAACUCUUUACACCUGCUGCCUGUAAGGUUACUUCUGCACUCCUUCUGUGCCUGCAGUUUUCGCCAGUGACAUAAUCUUUUGAAGGUCUGAGGUCUGCCACAAAAUAGGCCCUCACAGUAUACUAGCAGUGAGAAUAAAGGAUGAUGGAUGUGACCACAAAUUUUCUGAAAGGUAUCUUAAAAUGGGCAAAUUCUUUCUAUAAAUGCAUUUCUCCUAAGAGGCUAAAGGAAAAAACAGAGUUUUACUAACCAACCGUGAUAGAAAUCCUGGAUUUAUUCAUAAUCAGCAGUUACAGUGUAAAGAAGAUUCUGAAUUUGGCUGGAAUAAUUCUGACUCUGCUAAUAGUUCUUCCAGAAUUAAAACGCUCAGUAUUUAGAAGAGACUCCAUGGUUUUCAUUUCUUAUUCCUUGGGCCUGACUUCUAGACCUCUCCCCAAAUGCUACUUCAGAGAUAACGUCAGCUGCUUCCCGCACAAACCCUGCAGCUGGCAGACGGCUCCACUGAGCUCUGUCGUUCUUGUGCUUUACUUCCUCUCAGGCUGCCCCUGGGUUCAAUGUCAGAAUCUGAACAGGGAGUUCAGGCCAGGCAUUUUGAGAAGCAGGACACUUCACGUCAGUGUCUGCAGUGCUGGAGCGCAGCAAAGUGACCUUGAAUGUCUCCCUCCUUGGCCGGCUCUCACCAAACUUUAUGGCUUAUUUAAUGGAAUUGUGACAAAGAGCAGGAAUUAAAACACAUGGGGACCACAGAGGCUGUUAUGUUUAUUGUGCAGAACAGACAGUGAUAAUCCACUAGAGAAAUAUUUUCAACAAGCAAGCGAUUCAAAGUACAAUCUUAGACAGCAAUUCUACAUGAAGAACAAAGAGUAAAGUUAGAAGACGCUCAGAGGAACAGGGGAGAGUCAACUGCAGGUAAACGUCUUGGUAUUUUUCUCCUGCAAACAUACCUAACUUGCAGAAAUGGUAGAAAAGUUAAAUGUCCAGUCUUACUUAGCUGUGACCAACAACAGCAAAGAACAGUCCUAUAAAAUUUAUCUCCCACAAAAAUAAACUAUAUAUAUAAAAAUUUUAUGAUGUUCUUACUGUUCCAUUGGCCACAAGCUUUUUUUUUUCAGUAUGAAAAAUGAGGUAUACUGGGACUGAAGAGGUAGUAAUGUGCUUUGAUUGUACAACGUACAGGAAAUACAAGUGUAACUUCGUCAGGGGUGGAAAUCACUCAGUCCUCAAAGUUUGGCCAACAUGAGCGACUGCUUCAACUCUAUGAGCUGGCCAGUGAGGUUUCUAAAAGGCCCAUCCAAAGGCAUGGAAUGUGACUUUCACUUUGACGAGCCACUGUUUAUUGCGUAUCUAAUGCACAGCUAACAGUGAUGUUGGGUUCUAAUUCUCUCCAUAGUUCCUUCGGUGCCUUCACAACAGUGAGCCCACCUGCCAGUCUCAGAGAGGUGCGUGGCCUUGGCAACCACCUCCCUGGAGCUGCUGGAAGAGAGAUGGCUCUGAGUCACACUGACAUGAGCCCUCGUGAGAAACUACCUCCUGGCCCAGUUGAUAACACCGUGUUAAAAAGACAGCACAGUCACUAGGAGAGAAAGGCAUUAAAAACUCUACAUAAGAAGCGUUUAAAAUAAAUCUGGUUGAGACACAGUACAAAAAUCACAUUUGUGUAAAAUACAUGAAAAUAUCUGUCAAGCAUUUUCUUAUAUUCAACUAAUCUUAAAAACACAUAUUUUUGAUUGCAUUAUGCAAAAGCUGAGCUUGUCACAUCUCACCUACAAAGCUUCAAGUUUCUUUGAAGGCUGGCUUUUAUUUUACUUAGCUAUUAUUUAGUUACUUAAUUUGCAAAAGUAUGUAGAAACGUGUUCCUUUCUAUCAAAUGUCUUUUACAAAAAUAGCUUUGAUUAGGGAUAGUUGCGGUUUCAAACACUGAAAUAAAUGAAUGCUGUAAUUAAUGAGUUCAUUCCUCUUGAAGUCUGGAGGUAGGUCUUUGCAAGUCAAUUAGUCCGUUGCCUUAGACAAUUCAUGUGAGGUACAGACUUGGAGGGUAACAUUUAAACAUUACAGUCAAAUUAAGUGGGAUGUGUAGUGUGACUAAGGAAAAGUAUCCUUAAGAACCUAGGAGCGACUUGGUUAAAAAAUAUUCAAGUUAAUGUAGAAAUCUAGCAGAGAAGCUGAAACAAGUAUUUGUAAAAUUUUAAUUAAAAAAAAAACAUAGAAAAAUACAUACCCAUGCUGAAACACAGUAAGGAGAUCAUUUCUUUCACUGUAAUUAAGUGUAUUAAAAGAGGUGCAGACGACCGCAGUCGCCUGCCCAGUGGGUGUUUUCUUGCAUUGCUUGUGUAUAGCAGCAGUAAGAGGUGCUAGACUGUGACUCACGGUAACAUUCAGAGGUAGCACCGCGUGGUGGGGAUAUUGCAUCUCUGGCUGAAAGUGCAGUGUGAAUGAAGAGACGGAUGGUGAACCGGACCUCGGUCGACCACCCUAUGUCAAAAUGUACUACUUGACGUAACACAUAAGCUUAAUUUGAGGUAAGUGGUAUUUAGGUUUUUCACGGAAACUGAUACACUUUGAAAAGAGAAAGAGAGAGACACAGACAGACUGCUUAUUUUGCUUUUUAAACUGCCAUAUAACUAUAGCAAAAGGAAUUUAGAUUUCGCUCCUCCCACCUCACAAUUCAGGUGAGUUCGUCCGCGUUAUUCUGUUGUACCUUUCUGUUAAAUUGCAAAGAGGGGAGUUUUCCUUGUCUAGUUUCUUUAAACGCUCUGAGGUUGACAAGUGUUAUUUAUUUACUGCCCAAUGGCAUUUGGCUCUGUAGGAAGUAGAUUUCCUGAAAAUUAAGUGUUGUUCUAAAAAAAAAAAAAAAGAUUGCUAUGAGUAACUUUAUUAUUCCCGCCGUAUGUGUGACGUCCAUAAACGUAGUUGGCGGCAAUAUUUGUUUGCUUCUUUCCCUUUUUGAAAAAUGAACAUAACCUUUCUGGUGUGUUAGCUGAAUGCAAAGAUACAUCAGCAUUUUGUCUCGUUUAGAAAUAAAAAGGCAAAAAUCAUCAAGUAAGUGUCUACAGGAUUAUAUGGGGAAAGAGAGAGUAGUAUCUAGUCCUUAUCUUUGGUACUCUAAACAGAGGGUUCACUACAGUGAGCGAGACGGGUGGCACUGGGGGCGGACGCGGGGUCCCACCGUGCCUUUCCUGUGUGAAUGCCCAGGUCACAAUGUGACAGGUUUCCUGUUCGCAUGCAGUGCAGUGGUUGACUAAGCCAGUCAGAGGUUUUCACCCACCCGCUCUUGCUCAUCAGAUCAACAAACUAUUAGUAGGUUAGGAAAAAAAGAAAACAGUAAUUAAAAGUUGCAUUGUUAAACUGCGUCCCCUGUGUUUACAGCAGUUCCUCACUAAACCUGGGACUGUGAAGGGAUUACAAAGGUGAUUAACAUAGU
Molecule: long non-coding RNA, 6282 nt
Organism: Nycticebus coucang (slow loris)
Lineage: Eukaryota; Metazoa; Chordata; Mammalia; Primates; Lorisidae
Exons: 6
Source: RefSeq, a predicted model, not a curated record